AGAAAAAAAACCAACCAUUUUUUGAGGGCCUUGUGUUUCUUGGCCCUCAAAGGAACCUAGAGCCUCUAACCAAUGUUUUCUAGGGUUUCUCUCUAUCUCUCACUUGCUUAGUUUUAGGUGUGAGAGUAAGGACUACAUCUUGUUUUUCUCUCUCUUUAUUUUAGGAGUGAGGAAGAGUUAGGGUUUAGCUUUGAACUAGCAACAAAUUAAUCUAUCUUGUUUUACUUUUAGGGU
Molecule: long non-coding RNA, 234 nt
Filed under: Salvia miltiorrhiza (redroot sage)
Lineage: Eukaryota; Viridiplantae; Streptophyta; Magnoliopsida; Lamiales; Lamiaceae
Description: long non-coding RNA (SMIL_LNC001060)
Source: RNAcentral